AUGGCUCAGAUUGAACGCUGGCGGCAGGCUUAACACAUGCAAGUCGAACGGUAGCGGGAAGAAAGCUUGCUUUCUUUGCCGACGAGUGGCGGACGGGUGAGUAAUGCUUGGGGAUCUGGCUUAUGGAGGGGGAUAACGACGGGAAACUGUCGCUAAUACCGCGUAAUAUCUUCGGAUUAAAGGGUGGGACUUUCGGGCCACCCGCCAUAAGAU
RNAcentral lists this ribosomal RNA (213 nucleotides) under Basfia succiniciproducens. RNAcentral describes it as "16S rRNA. Bacterial SSU". It matches the Rfam family "Bacterial small subunit ribosomal RNA", at positions 19 to 226 of the family's 1533-position model. Lineage: Bacteria; Pseudomonadati; Pseudomonadota; Gammaproteobacteria; Pasteurellales; Pasteurellaceae. The record is from RNAcentral.